This 18-nucleotide small nuclear RNA is filed under the name Arabidopsis thaliana (thale cress). RNAcentral describes it as "snRNA_14432". The record is from RNAcentral. Lineage: Eukaryota; Viridiplantae; Streptophyta; Magnoliopsida; Brassicales; Brassicaceae.
AGUGUCGUCUUUCCACUA